AGAGCUCGUAGGCGGUUUGUCGCGUCUGCCGUGAAAGUCCGGGGCUCAACUCCGGAUCUGCGGUGGGUACGGGCAGGCUAGAGUGAUGUAGGGGAGACUGAAAUUCCUGGUGUAGCGGUGAAAUGCGCAGAUAUCAGGAGGAACACCGAUGGCGAAGGCAGGUCUCUGGGCAUUAACUGACGCUGAGGAGCGAAAGCAUGGGGAGCGAACAGGAUUAGAUACCCUGGUAGUCCAUGCCGUAAACGUUGGGCACUAGGUGUGGGGGACAUUCCACGUUUUCCGCGCCGUAGCUAACGCAUUAAGUGCCCCGCCUGGGGAGUACGGCCGCAAGGCUAAAACUCAAAGGAAUUGACGGGGGCCCGCACAAGCGGCGGAGCAUGCGGAUUAAUUCGAUGCAACGCGAAGAACCUUACCAAGGCUUGACAUGAACCGGACCGGGCUGGAAACAGUCUUUCCCCUUGUGGGCUGGUUUACAGGUGGUGCAUGGUUGUCGUCAGCUCGUGUCGUGAGAUGUUGGGUUAAGUCCCGCAACGAGCGCAACCCUCGUUCUAUGUUGCCAGCACGUGAUGGUGGGGACUCAUAGGAGACUGCCGGGGUCAACUCGGAGGAAGGUGGGGACGACGUCAAAUCAUCAUGCCCCUUAUGUCUUGGGCUUCACGCAUGCUACAAUGGCCGGUACAAAGGGUUGCGAUACUGUGAGGUGGAGCUAAUCCCAAAAAGCCGGUCUCAGUUCGGAUUGGGGUCUGCAACUCGACCCCAUGAAGUCGGAGUCGCUAGUAAUCGCAGAUCAGCAACGCUGCGGUGAAUACGUUCCCGGGCCUUGUACACACCGCCCGUCAAGUCACGAAAGUUGGUAACACCCGAAGCCGGUGGCCUAACCCCUUGUGGGAGGGAGCCGUCGAAGUGGGACUGGCGAUUGGGACG
Molecule: ribosomal RNA, 924 nt
Filed under: Arthrobacter sp.
Lineage: Bacteria; Bacillati; Actinomycetota; Actinomycetes; Micrococcales; Micrococcaceae
Description: bacterial SSU rRNA
Rfam family: Bacterial small subunit ribosomal RNA
Source: RNAcentral